GCAAGGUCCUCUGCAUCGAGAUGGCUCUCCAAUGGCCCCACAGUACUGAACUUUAGAAGCUGUAGGAGGCUUUCAGAACCACUGAAAGCCAAUGAAGGCGUCUGGGCAAGUCUCUCUAUGCAGUCCUGGCUAUUCUGGAACUCCCUGUGUAGACGAGUCUGGCUUUGAGCUACAUCGACAAAUCUUAAAAACUAUAAUGAAAUCCUGAUCUAGGAAAUUCCUGAACAUCCCUCGAACUGCACUGUUUGAGAGAAUGAAGAGAAUGUACUCAUAGCAGAUCAUUCUUGCACUGUUCAGAAUUAACCAUGGGGCAAAUGGUUGCCCAGACCGAGUCCUCUGCACUCCUGACUCUCCUGGCAGCCAGCUAAACGGCAGGUAUGAGGGUCCCAUUCACUACAAGGCUUAAGUACACCAGGACAAUACAGAGCCAAGGACUCUGACCUUGAAUGAAAGAGAAGUAAACGGGAGUAAAGGAGGGGCAGGCAUGUGAGGUGAGGUACCACAGCUAUUGGGAUUCAAGUGUAAGAGAGAAGUACACAGCAUUGCAUCGUGGGAAACUCAAGCCCUCCUAUGAAGUUCUGACUGGGGAUCCAGAGGCAGGAGGGGGCACCUGGGAUCACAGGUCGCUGUAGGCCGGAGCUGAGUGUUUUAUUGAAAAGAGGCAAUGAGGUAGAAGUAAGGACAUUUACUUAACUACAUACAUCCUUCACACAUGCUAUCCAGAUGGGCAACUUUACCUCAGUGAAUCUGGCCAGCGCAAGCCUCCUACAGACACUGAGUAUCUACGUGUUAGGCUCUACCGUAUACAGAAGAGAUUUUGUUCUCAUCAACAAGACAUGGUUGUGGCAUAUGAGGGGUCAUUGGCCUCUAGUGGGACAGGAUAAUCAUGGAUGGAUACAAAAUUGCCUAGAAGUGGUUAGUUCUUGGGAGACAAACAGGUAAGGGGAGAGGUUGCUGAGUUCAAUGGGGUGGUCGGUCAGGAAAGCCUUCUCACAGUCUGGGAUCUGGAAGCAGAUGUCGCCUGAGAAGAGAGUGGCUACAAGCCUUUCAGGGUGCAGGAGCUGGGGCCUGGAGUGAUGGAGUGGAUCCAGGUUUCUGACCCUGGGUUCUACAUGCUUGGUUUCUACUGGCAUGGCAUUUAUACAGGACUCUGUAGACACUGACUUUGAUGCACCCUAAUGCUUAAACUUGGCAGGGAAGGUCUCCAAAGCUUGGCUGUCCAUUCUUUACCUCCCCAAAUCUGAAUUUAGGAAAUCAGGUACUCCAUGGGGUUCCAGUGCUGUGAUCCAGACGGCCGAGUGGCACCAGUGUCUGGAAACAGCAUCUGCUUUCCUCUCUGGAGGCCGACAGUGCUUUGACUCUCUUUGUGCUGCUGUAAGAGUGAGCAAGGACAUCUGUCUGUAUACACACUGUCUGUAUCCACUUGCUUUCUAGUCCUGGUCAGACUCUCACUAUACGAGCAUACCUCUUCUGACUGGGUGGGUUCCUGAGAGCCACUCGAGAUACCACAUACGCCACCCUCUGGGGACGAAAAGCCAGGGAUGGCAGGCACUCCUGCCGAAGAACCAUAUUGUAAAAACAUGAUACUGAUUGACUUUGCCUCCCCUGAACUGGAGCGGGACUCUGCCAGCCAUAGCACAGUGUACCUUUUCUGUCUUCCACGCUACCCUAACAACAUUGCAAGUAGGAGGACCUGGCUGGUGUGUAAUUUGGAGACAGGUUUUGUGCUCAACUGCUAAGCUUUCUGGUAUUCAGCCAUGGGGACAUAUGGCACCGAACCCUCAGAAGCUGUAGGAAGAAUCUGGAAAAAUAAAGCAGGUUUCCAAAGUGCUUCACCAAACAACUGGCUCCUCCAAUUUGAAUGCAUUCUCCUCAGUGGGGUGUGGAACUCAUCCUUAGGGAUGGCAAAGAGAAAGACGGUUUCAAUGUUUAGGUAAUCAUCAGCCGCGCUGUCCAACAAUGGCUAUUUCGAGUGCCUACUAAGUACAAAGUCCUGUGGUAUCCAAUAAAAGGAACACAGAGAAAUAACACAUUAAAACAACAAUCAAGCAAGAGCUAACAUUACUUUUAGAGAACAAAGACAAAGGUGUCAGCAAGCAGUUAAUAAGCAAUAAUAACUAGAGAUGGAUUGACCUGAUGGCCAUUCAUUGAGGUAUCUGUGUGAACUGGAUUGGACCCAAAGGGUGAGGUCUAACCUUUAUGGAUGGAUCACACAUAAACAAUUUAGGGUAAGCUUUAAGUAAGACAAGAUGUGAGAGUUUAACAUUCCUAAGGGAAAAAAGCUCAGAGUGAAUGAGGGAAAAGGGAAAAAGAGCAACCGUGAGGAGAUUCCAGGCUAGCUUUGCAAGUUCCCUGAUUGGGCAGGUUUUCACGGCCUGGCCAUGGCUUAGUGAGGCCCCCAGAGAGUGUUGUACUACUGAAGCAUCUUCAGUAAGUGCCCGAGCUGAGGGAGGAGAGUGGAGGCGUGCACCCAAACUAAAGCAUUAAAGAAGCAAUGGUAUUGUCUGUGUCAUCAUUGCCUUGGCAUUAUGUCACCCUUCAUAUGCAGGAGUUUUAGGAUGAAAAUUGUCUGAAAUCUCCCAGAAUCCCACCACACCCUGCUGCCCAGAGUUAUCUUUAAUCCAAAAUGGAUAGUUUCUGUGAUCAAUGAGCAACAGUAGUUAUAAUAAGGAGUCUGGUUAAGACCUAAGUAGUUUAGCCUAGGAUGUCUGUCACCCUUUGCCAGGUAAAUCUAUCCAUCCCAGAGAGGCUUCCAUUGUCUUCUGGAAUUCCUGUGGUUCAAAGGCUUCUAUACUACCCUCAUUAUGCCAAGACAUAACUGUGAUGGCUAAGAGCUGCUUAAUUCAAAACCUGGAACUGUGAGGCUCUGUCUCUGUAAUAACAAUGUACAGCCGAGUUAUGCAGGAUCCUCAAAUUCAGGAGAAUGUUAACAAUCACCCCAUGUAAGGCUGUGAACAAGGGGUUUAGGAGAGUACACUACACCAGAUAUUUCAGGAAGGGAGAGGCUGACUUUGACAGCUCUAAGCUCUGAACUUAGCACACUGCCUAGAAUAUGAAAUAAUUCCUUAAGAGUGGCCUGUGAGACAGCCUAUGCCUUUAAUCACAGCACUUGGUAGCCGACACAGGUGGAUUUCUAGGUUUAAGAUCCUGUUCUACAGAGAGAGUUCAAGGACAGUCCCCGACUACACAGAGAAACUCUCUCUAGAAAAACAACAAACAAAAACCAAACAACAACAAAACAAAACAAAAAAAAGAGAAAGAAAGGUUGUUAUACCAAGAAAGACAUUGAAAGCCUGAAAAGAAUAAGGUGCAGGGGUGUGCUCACAAGGAGCCUGGCAUGACGGUGUUUGAGGUUUGCCAUGGGUCUGAAAUGAAGAUGUCGAGGGUGGUGCAGUCAAACGUCCUUCUUUCCCCGUGGGUCUGGCUGGAGGUGAGUAUGUCUGAUGCAUUUCUGUCAUAUUUCUGUGUGAUCAAGCUGAGCAGAAGAGUUGAGGUUCUUCUGACUUGCCUCCUUCAAGGGGCUAAUUUGCCUUUCUUCUCUAAUACUUUCUCAAGAUUAUAGAACUUUUUAUCACUCUAGUAACUUAAAGAAAGAUUAAUUUUGUAGUUUGCAUGCUUGUGUUUGUCUCUGUGCAGUAUGUGGACAUGAAUGCAGGUGCUGGAGGAGACCAGAAGAGGACACCAGAUCCCCUGGAGGUGGGGUUACAGGAGGUCCAAGCUGCCGUGCAGGCUUCUGGGGAUGGAACUUGGGUCUUCUGCAGGAGCUUUAAGUGCUGAGUCAUCCCUCCAGCCCUUCUCUUGGCCCUUGGACCAUAAGAAACCAUUCUCAUGCCCUUUGCCGUACUGACUCCCACACUGUUCUGGGGUGUGAGUAUUUCCUAGGCUGGGUGUGGUGAGCACUUGAGGGUUGAAGCAUGGAGAUCUCAAACCCUGGGACAUAGGAACCCAGUCUUAAAAUGAAAAAGUAAGAAAUAAAAGGAAAAGACAGAAAUGCUCCAAUCUUAAAGGGAAGAAGAGCCAGGUCCAGGUCAUGUUGGCAGAAUGUGAAUCCUUGACUCUGGGAAGAUGAUGCUUUCUCCAGCCGAGGAGACUGCAGGUGUGGCUUGGGUAGGCUGUGGAAAGGCAGGGGUUGUUUCAGUUUUCCUGGGUGGAAUUGGUAUAAUCGCAAAGUCCUUAGAUGUGGAAGCGGGAUGCAAGAGAGGCACAGUGAGGUGUGCUGAUUCUGAAGAUGGCAUGGACGGACACCAAGAAGGGCAGGCAGCCUGUGAGAGCAGAAAAAAACCCGGGGACAGAUGCCCUCCUAAAUGAACCUGAAAGAAAGCAGCCUGCCGACAUACUACUGGUAGCUCAGUUACACAGCUAUAAGUCAACCACUUGCUAAAAGCCUCACAUCAACCAGGUCUGUAAGCUGGACUCAGAGUCCAGGAAAGUCAGGUACUGGUGGGCAGUGAGCUUUUUCUUGUUUUCACCAUUUACUUGGCUUCUUUUGAUAGAGUUCCUCUGUGCAGCUUGGUUUGGCUUGAACUCAGAACCACCUGCCUCAAGAUUCCCCCGGUGCUGGGACCACAGGCAACUGCCAGCACGCCUAGCCCAGUUGGGUCUUUCUCACGAUGGACCCCUUUUGCUGAAACUGACUCGUGUCCUAAAUACAAUCCUGUCUCUUUUACAGGACCCUGUGCGCUUCCUUCAAGUCCACUACAGUCUGUAGAGCUGUCAUUUGUCUAUCGGUUACAUUGGUCCUCACCAGAAUGCAAGUUCUCUGAGAAGACACAGGUCCUGAAUGUGAUCGCCAUGCAGUCCCUACUGCUUAUAACACCGUCUGGCUAACAGAAAGUGUCCCCAUUUUCCAAAAGACUCCCACCUUUUGAGGAUACUGCAGCUGAGUGAAACCAGAGAUGCUGGCCGAGUGUCUGUGCAGACCUUAAAGACUGGAUGCAAGAUGGAAGAGAAAAGGGCUGCACCAGUCCCCAACACAGUUUCUUCUCCCCAGCUUCCAUGUGAAGCAGAAGCCCAGGUCCCUGCGGAGUCCAUCAUCUAGAUAUCCGACUCCUCCCGUCUCCGUUUCAACAAGCCUGCCUCCCGGCCCCUUAAGCACUUUGUUUCCAUUCUGCAUCUAAUUGCUUUUGGAUAAUUAUAUCAUUAACUCUUUGUAAUGAAUAAUAAAAAAUAAAUCACAUU
This is a long non-coding RNA of Alexandromys fortis (reed vole), 5178 nucleotides long. RefSeq lists it as uncharacterized. NCBI's taxonomy places the organism in Eukaryota, Metazoa, Chordata, Mammalia, Rodentia, Cricetidae. The record is from RefSeq and is a predicted model, not a curated record. The transcript is spliced from 3 exons.